AAGGGGAAAUCAGAGGUAGAAGGCAGCCUUCCCUGAAACUCCAGAGAGGAAGUAGCAAGGCCAAGAAGAACGAAAGGUCUGGCAAUGCACUGUGUUCACAUGCCUCCCACCUGACUUCAUGUGAUCUGAUACUAUGUAGUGAUAUCAAAGGCACUCUGGUUGAGGAUAUCAAGUUUGCAUCUUUAUUUCCUGGAAUGUUGUCAAUCAACGUCAAACAAGCCCUAAAUAAAAUCUGAGCCAACUGGAACAGAGACCUCAGGCACAAAGGACAAGUCUGACAGUGGA
Long non-coding RNA from Bos indicus x Bos taurus (hybrid cattle), 285 nucleotides. The record is from Ensembl. NCBI's taxonomy places the organism in Eukaryota, Metazoa, Chordata, Mammalia, Artiodactyla, Bovidae.